GCAGAUGCCUGAAGCCUUCUGAAGUGGUAUGAUGUUACUCUGUAUGGACAGGCACCUGAAGUCUUCUGAUGAGUGCCUGAUCUACAAGAGGAAACCAAGAAAAGUCUAACCUUGAUUUCCUCCUGAACUUUGAUUCCUACCUCAGCAAGUUCAGUCACUUAAAGCACUCAUACUUCUGUCUGAACCCAAGGAGCAAAGUGAGCAGGGGAAGGACCGGUUGGAUUUUACUUUAUCCACAGAGAUUUAAACAUUUUCUACAAUUGCUCAACUGAAUGCCCUUAUAAACAUGCUGUUAAGGGAACUCACCCCUGGUGAUCAUCAGAACAUCAUGACAAUAUGCACAAUUGAUGUACAUGCGAGGGAUGUUGUAGCCACGGUUAUAGCACAGAAGCUGCCAAGACCAAGGAUUGUGCUGCUUCUCUGCGUUCCCAAACACCCUCCUAUACCCACAAUUAAAUCCCAUUGCUAACCUUUGUUCUCUAAAGACGGAUGUCAAAGUAUUUUGAGAGGCAUUGAUUCACCAUUUUAGUCCUGAGUUAAGAGCGACAGACUGGGUAAUAUCACCUCAAUAGUGCUUAUGCUGACCACUACUGUGUGUAAAGCAAAAAUGUCCAACUUCAAAGCUUACAGCAAGGCUUGUUCUUGAUGGCAGUGUAAACAACCUAAGAAAAUCAUAUUCUGCAGUUGCUUCUAAAGUGCUACAACCCUAAAAGUAUGAACAAAUAUAACACUGUGAAACAUGUUUGUUUCUUCAGCUUAAUGCAAUGCUAUCACUCUCCAAGUAUAAUUUUGUAAGUUUGGAAAUAGUUAUAAGAGCAAUACCUUCCUUGCAUGUGGCAACAACAGCUGAUGAGAAAAGCAGGGAAGUUUGAUCACUUAGAUUUCACCAAAUGGGAAGAGGGAGCUAUCAAUUAUCUCUUAGUAAAGCUGUGGGAUCAAUCUGUUGGAGAGGUGUACAAGAAAAAAAAAGGAGGGUGACUCAUGGAGUGGAAGGUGGAAAGAGAAAGCAUCUUGAUCAGGAAAGGACAAAAGAAAUAGUCUGAUUCCUCAGAAGCCAAUGGAGGCAGGCCUGCAAGCAAAGUACAAGGUGAGCAGUUUACAGCAAUAACCAGAAAUACUGCAGGGUUAGAGGAUCAUGCAGAGAUGGUCACAGAAGAAAGCAGAAGUACUGCAGUGCUAAGGGAAAAGGUUUUUACAAAGUCACAGAUAUCAGAAAGCACAUGCAAGACAAUCACAAAGGUGAAGAAGAUGAAGAUCAAGGGUGGAGAAGAGGACUAAUGAGCCUGGGAGAUUUAGGACAAGCAAGGAGAAACACUGGUGCCUGCUGCACAGUAGAUGAAAGUAGAGAGAUUGAUAAAUUGAAGGGAUUUCUUCAAGCAGGUGAAAAAUAUCACUGGGUAGGAAGUGAAGAAAUCUGUCUUGAUUGAGACCAUAAAAAUCUGGUGAGGCAAAAUGAAAGGAAAGGCAUAGGAACAUGAAGCCAAUGGCAGCAGUGUUCAGGAAAUAUAUGAUUGGGAUCCUUUGAUGGUGAAGUAAUAAAAUUAGACUGUAGCAGUGCACUUUGCAUCAUAAGCUUCUCUGUCAAGAAGAAAUAUUGCUACUCCAGUCAUGAAAGAGAUGUUCUCUGCUUCCAAGUUAUACCACACUUUAAAAUUUUGUCAAAGUAAAAGAGCUUAUACAAUGAUGAUUUCAGACCUUUGUGUGAAAUGGUGUUGACAUCAGAACAGCUGCAAAUUCAAGGAGACUCAUGAGAAAGUCUCACCUGUUUUUAAUAACCAUUUAAUGAGGUAAAUGAAAGAUGUCUUCUCCUCCUCCCAGAAUCCAUCCUCUUGUAGGCAUGUGAUUCUAUGAUACAAGAAUACUGUCCUCCUCCUUCUAGCAGCCUGAUCUGAAUAACUGAAUGGAAUACAUCUUGAGAUAGUCCUGAGGUCUGUUCAGAGAACAAGCAAAGCGAUGAAGUAUAUUGUUGUAUUGCCUAACGGAUUUGCUUAUGCUGGAUAUAAACUGUUCUGGGAGAAUUUUCCAGAUAUUGUGGAAGAGCAGGUUGGGCUCCAGAGCUUGGUAUGAGAAAGGACCAAGCAUUAGCUUGAAAUUCCUUACAGUCUACAAAGGACUAAAAUAUUAGAAUUGACUUGUUCUGGUGUUUCGUUUGUUUGGUUUUGGCUUUUUUUGAGGAGUUGCAACUCCCCUUAUCUUUGAACUGUGUAUCACCAGAGGUGACACGCUGUAUAUGACAACAGAGGAAAGUGAACCAGAAUAUCAAUGUCUAGCCCUGUGAGAGACUGAAAUCUCCUGCCUGAAUAUAAGUGGAACGAUAAGGCAAAAGUGUUUGCUCUUGGAAUCCAAAUGUGUGUGCUUCAAGUGAUAAAAGCCUCCAGAACUACUGCUUGAAUCAAUCUUUUGCCAUUUGUUGACGUCUAAAUCCUGUUUACAGAAAACUAGGCUUUGAACACAGUUUGUUUCCUGAAUUAACCUUAGUAGUAAGUGGGAAGGUGAUUCACUGUUCUUACAUACCUAAAGGUAAUAUGAGUGUGAUGAAAUAGGGUUAAAAAGUGUCAUGAGAUUUGAUAAGCAUUCAUACAUUUUAUCUGACUUGGGGCAUUGAACCCAUGGAAACAUUGGCUUUUACACAUCAUUUUCUCAUUCACAAAAUUAAGUAAUUACAUCCUGGGAGAAAUGCACUGGCAUUGAAUAUACAGCAUCCAGACUAUGCCACUACAGGUAGCAGAUUGAGUUUAACUAGCCAUAUGGAUUGUAAUUGUCUAAGUAUGAUUAAUUCAUAAUGUUUCUUAAUUUUAUGCCUUAUAUUAUGGUUUGUUACUAUAAUGUCAGUAUUUUCUCCUUUUUUUUUGUUUCUUUUUAGUCUAGGUUUUGAUGAGAGGCCUCAAGGGAAUUUAAUCUU
Zonotrichia leucophrys gambelii is the source of this 2902-nucleotide RNA transcript. It is a transcript of the gene named dynein axonemal heavy chain 11-like, with no coding region annotated. The transcript is spliced from 9 exons. The record is from RefSeq and is a predicted model, not a curated record. Lineage: Eukaryota; Metazoa; Chordata; Aves; Passeriformes; Passerellidae.